GACAGAGGAUGCAAGCGUUAUCCGGAAUUAUUGGGCGUAAAGAGCUCGUAGGCGGUUUGUCGCGUCUGCCGUGAAAGUCCGGGGCUCAACUCCGGAUCUGCGGUGGGUACGGGCAGACUAGAGUGAUGUAGGGGAGACUGGAAUUCCUGGUGUAGCGGUGAAAUGCGCAGAUAUCAGGAGGAACACCGAUGGCGAGGGCAGGUCUCUGGGCAUUAACUGACGCUGAGGAGCGAAAGCAUGGGGAGCGAACAGG
Molecule: ribosomal RNA, 253 nt
Filed under: uncultured bacterium
Lineage: Bacteria
Description: partial 16S ribosomal RNA
Rfam family: Bacterial small subunit ribosomal RNA
Source: RNAcentral